RNAcentral lists this ribosomal RNA (1383 nucleotides) under Triticum aestivum (bread wheat). RNAcentral describes it as "partial small subunit ribosomal RNA". The record is from RNAcentral. Lineage: Eukaryota; Viridiplantae; Streptophyta; Magnoliopsida; Poales; Poaceae.
AUGCCGUCGUCGACGAUCCGGAGCAUCUCCAUCACAGUAUCUGACGACGACGGCGCCGCGGCGCCCCGGCGUACCCGCGCCGGUCGACGGAAGGUGGUGCGCAGCUUGGGGCAGCGCGCCGUGCGGCUCGUGGCCCGGUGGUGGCCUAUCCUCCUGCUCCUCCCGGCCGUCGCGCUGCUACUCUUCGAGGCCUCCCGGCUCCGUGCCUCUCCGAGCCCCGCCCCGCCAGUAUCGAGCAGCCUUGGCCGCCUAGACCCGACCACGCGCCUCGUCCAUGGCGUGCGCGAGCCGUGCCUGAAGGUUCUUAGCCCGAAGAGUAUAGAAAAUUUGGUAUUUCAUGAAGGCUCGGGACUUGAUGCUGUGGUCAAGAGGAUUAUAUACAAAACUGACGAUGACGACUAUGACUCACACCACUCUGAGGCAAACUCUACCUAUUUACUGCAGCACGCAGAAGCUACCAGGUUCAAUUUGUUUACAGGAUUCCAAACAGUUCCUGAAAGAGAAGAGAGCUUCAAGGUGAAUGAGACUGUUAGUGUGCACUGUGGUUUCUAUAGUGACAAUGGCGGUUUCAAAAUUUCGGAUGAUGAUGUCAGAUACAUGAGAACCUGUAAAGUUGUUGUGUCUACCUGCGCAUUCGGUGGCGGGGAUGAUCUAUAUCAACCUAUUGGAAUGGUCAAUUCUUCUAUUGGAAAGCAGGUCUGCUAUGUGGCUUUCUGGGAUGCGGUCACACUAUCAACUCAAGAAGCUGAAGGAAAAUUAACUGGCGACAAUGAAAUGAUAGGAAGGUGGCGUAUCAUUGUUGUCAAGAAUCUCCCCUUUGUGGAUCAACGUUUAAAUGGGAAAAUACCGAAGAUGUUGACUCACCGACUUUUCCCAGAAGCAAGUUACUCUAUAUGGGUAGACUCUAAAUACCAGUUCAGAAGAGAUCCAAUAGGAGUGCUUGAAGCACUUCUUUGGAGGACAAACUCUACCUUUGCUAUUUCUGAACAUGGAGCACGGACUAACAUUUAUGAUGAGGGGAAAGCGAUUGUUCAAAAGCACAAGGCUACUCCUGAAGAAGUAGAGGUUCAGCUAACUCAAUAUCGUCAAGACGGCAUGCCAGAUGAAAAAAGACUACAUGGAUUAAAAGCUUUGGCUGAAGCUUCUAUCAUUGUGAGGGAGCUGACCCCAUUGACGAAUCAUUUCAUGUGUGCUUGGUUCAAUGAAGUUGUUCGUUUCACAUCUCGGGAUCAACUCAGUUUUCCGUAUGUACUAUGGCGUCUAAACAUGCCAGGAAUCAACAUGUUUCCUGUGUGCACUCGAAGGGACCUUGUGAACAGUUUGGGUCACACAAGGAAAGUAAAACCUCUUACACAGACGAAUUCAGAUUCUUCCACGGCAUGA